AAGACCGGCCAGGUGAGCUCUCUCUCUCUCUCUCUACAGCUUCCGGCGUCGCCACACGGGCCCGGCCCGACUCAAAUCGCUGGCGUCUCGGUUCAAUUCCAGACUGGGGUGAGAGGUUACGGACAACAUGGGAAGUUCCCCGGACCGCAGAGUUUCCACAGAUCCGAUUGGGCUCCGGGUUGCGUUGUCUCUGGGACGUCUGCGGGUGGAGGUGACGUGACCAGGUGAAUAAUUAUAGAGCAGUCACUGCAGCGUGCAGCCACUGAGAUGGGAGAUUCACAUAGACGCGGUGCGGGGCGGAAUUGAAGAAUGAAACAGAGCUGCGUGUGUAUAGUAUCUAUAGAUCCUGCAACUGGAGUCUGGGAACCCUGCACCUGGAGGCGUCUGAAGCGUGAGGGUGACGUGAGAAGGUGAAUAAUUACAGAGCAGUCACUGCAGCGUGCAGCCACUGAGAUGGGAGAUUCGCGAUGACGCGGUGCGGGGCUGCAUUGAAUUCAAUGAAGAAACAGCCAGGGUCACUCAGUUCCGUGCGUACAUCACCCAGAGAACCUGCACCUGGAACCUGGAGACCCUGCACCUGGAACCGUCUGAAGCGUCUCCCUUCCGCAGCUGGUCCCCCAUGGGCUGCUCCAUGUUCUCAACACGGCCUGCACUCACACAGUAGCGUACAACGCAUGUUAGUACAUUCACAUAUCAGACACACACGUCACGUCAAUACGUUCACAUAUUAAGACAAUCACACUUUGUGUUUAUGCAUCACUCACCUUUACCGGGGUUUGAAACCUCGCGCCUUUUAACUCCCGUCGCAUGCGGGUGUUGUCUCGCAUCGCCUUGCGCCACCGAGUCUUCACACAGGUACACGGGGCUCUGCGCGGUGUAGUGAUUGCACUGCGCGCACGUUGGCUGUCGAAACACAGGCAGCGACCGUCACUGCGUGGUUAGUAAAUCAGCAAAAAAUCUAAAGUGGGAUUCGAACCCCGCUCCUCGGCUUCUAACGCCCCAGUGGAAUACCA
Molecule: long non-coding RNA, 1013 nt
Organism: Lethenteron reissneri (Far Eastern brook lamprey)
Lineage: Eukaryota; Metazoa; Chordata; Hyperoartia; Petromyzontiformes; Petromyzontidae
Source: RefSeq, a predicted model, not a curated record